GACGAACGCUGGCGGCGUGCCUAAUACAUGCAAGUCGAGCGAAGUUUUUCUGGUUCUUGCACUAGAAAAACUUAGCGGCGAACGGGUGAGUAACACGUAAAGAACCUGCCUCAUAGACUGGGACAACUAUUGGAAACGAUAGCUAAUACCGGGUAACAGUAUUUCUCGCAUGAGAGAUGUUUAAAAGUUGGGUAUGCUAACACUAUGAGAUGGCUUUGCGGUGCAUUAGCUAGUUGGUUGGGUAAAGGCCCACCAAGGCGACGAUGCAUAGCCGACCUGAGAGGGUGAUAGGCCACCCUGGGACUGAGACACGGCCCAGACUCCUACGGGAGGCAGCAGUAGGGAAUCGUCCGCAAUGGGCGAAAGCCUGACGGAGCAACGCCGCGUGAGUGAAGAAGGAUUUCGGUUCGUAAAGCUCUGUUGUUAGGGAAGAAUGGAUAUGUAGUAACUAUACAUGUAAGAGACGGUACCUAACCAGAAAGCCACGGCUAACUACGUG
Molecule: ribosomal RNA, 499 nt
Filed under: uncultured bacterium
Lineage: Bacteria
Description: partial 16S ribosomal RNA
Rfam family: Bacterial small subunit ribosomal RNA
Source: RNAcentral